RNAcentral lists this ribosomal RNA (3007 nucleotides) under Salmonella enterica. RNAcentral describes it as "23S ribosomal RNA". It matches the Rfam family "Bacterial large subunit ribosomal RNA". Lineage: Bacteria; Pseudomonadati; Pseudomonadota; Gammaproteobacteria; Enterobacterales; Enterobacteriaceae. The record is from RNAcentral. RNAcentral also lists the same sequence under 2 other names.
GGUUAAGCGACUAAGCGUACACGGUGGAUGCCCUGGCAGUCAGAGGCGAUGAAGGGCGUGCUAAUCUGCGAUAAGCGCCGGUAAGGUGAUAUGAACCGUUAUAACCGGCGAUACCCGAAUGGGGAAACCCAGUGUGACUCGUCACACUAUCAUUAACUGAAUCCAUAGGUUAAUGAGGCGAACCGGGGGAACUGAAACAUCUAAGUACCCCGAGGAAAAGAAAUCAACCGAGAUUCCCCCAGUAGCGGCGAGCGAACGGGGAGGAGCCCAGAGCCUGAAUCAGCAUGUGUGUUAGUGGAAGCGUCUGGAAAGGCGCGCGAUACAGGGUGACAGCCCCGUACACAAAAGCGCAUGUGCUGUGAGCUCGAUGAGUAGGGCGGGACACGUGGUAUCCUGUCUGAAUAUGGGGGGACCAUCCUCCAAGGCUAAAUACUCCUGACUGACCGAUAGUGAACCAGUACCGUGAGGGAAAGGCGAAAAGAACCCCGGCGAGGGGAGUGAAAAAGAACCUGAAACCGUGUACGUACAAGCAGUGGGAGCCCCACCACUAAGCCAGUGGUGAACUCCACAUCCGCAUCCUUUGCUGAGGAUACGGUUAACGGAGCGAAAGCGACGUUCAACCGCAAAACAAGCAGAGGGGGCUUAGUGGUGGGGUGACUGCGUACCUUUUGUAUAAUGGGUCAGCGACUUAUAUUCUGUAGCAAGGUUAACCGAAUAGGGGAGCCGGAGGGAAACCGAGUCUUAAUUGGGCGUUAAGUUGCAGGGUAUAGACCCGAAACCCGGUGAUCUAGCCAUGGGCAGGUUGAAGGUUGGGUAACACUAACUGGAGGACCGAACCGACUAAUGUUGAAAAAUUAGCGGAUGACCUGUGGCUGGGGGUGAAAGGCCAAUCAAACCGGGAGAUAGCUGGUUCUCCCCGAAAGCUAUUUAGGUAGCGCCUCGUGAAUUCAUCUCCGGGGGUAGAGCACUGUUUCGGCUAGGGGGCCAUCCCGGCUUACCAACCCGAUGCAAACUGCGAAUACCGGAGAAUGUUAUCACGGGAGACACACGGCGGGUGCUAACGUCCGUCGUGAAGAGGGAAACAACCCAGACCGCCAGCUAAGGUCCCAAAGUCAUGGUUAAGUGGGAAACGAUGUGGGAAGGCCCAGACAGCCAGGAUGUUGGCUUAGAAGCAGCCAUCAUUUAAAGAAAGCGUAAUAGCUCACUGGUCGAGUCGGCCUGCGCGGAAGAUGUAACGGGGCUAAACCAUGCACCGAAGCUGCGGCAGCGACGCUGAUGCGUUGUUGGGUAGGGGAGCGUUCUGUAAGCCUGUGAAGGUGUGUCGUGAGGCAUGCUGGAGGUAUCAGAAGUGCGAAUGCUGACAUAAGUAACGAUAAAGCGGGUGAAAAGCCCGCUCGCCGGAAGACCAAGGGUUCCUGUCCAACGUUAAUCGGGGCAGGGUGAGUCGACCCCUAAGGCGAGGCCGAAAGGCGUAGUCGAUGGGAAACGGGUUAAUAUUCCCGUACUUGGUGUUACUGCGAAGGGGGGACGGAGAAGGCUAUGUUGGCCGGGCGACGGUUGUCCCGGUUUAAGCGUGUAGGUGUGUGUUCCAGGUAAAUCCGGUUCACUUUAACACUGAGGCGUGACGACGAGGCACUACGGUGCUGAAGCAACAAAUGCCCUGCUUCCAGGAAAAGCCUCUAAGCAUCAGGUAACACGAAAUCGUACCCCAAACCGACACAGGUGGUCAGGUAGAGAAUACCAAGGCGCUUGAGAGAACUCGGGUGAAGGAACUAGGCAAAAUGGUGCCGUAACUUCGGGAGAAGGCACGCUGACACGUAGGUGAAGUGAUUUACUCAUGGAGCUGAAGUCAGUCGAAGAUACCAGCUGGCUGCAACUGUUUAUUAAAAACACAGCACUGUGCAAACACGAAAGUGGACGUAUACGGUGUGACGCCUGCCCGGUGCCGGAAGGUUAAUUGAUGGGGUCAGCGCAAGCGAAGCUCCUGAUCGAAGCCCCGGUAAACGGCGGCCGUAACUAUAACGGUCCUAAGGUAGCGAAAUUCCUUGUCGGGUAAGUUCCGACCUGCACGAAUGGCGUAAUGAUGGCCAGGCUGUCUCCACCCGAGACUCAGUGAAAUUGAACUCGCUGUGAAGAUGCAGUGUACCCGCGGCAAGACGGAAAGACCCCGUGAACCUUUACUAUAGCUUGACACUGAACAUUGAGCCUUGAUGUGUAGGAUAGGUGGGAGGCUUUGAAGUGUGGACGCCAGUCUGCAUGGAGCCGACCUUGAAAUACCACCCUUUAAUGUUUGAUGUUCUAACGUGGACCCGUAAUCCGGGUUGCGGACAGUGUCUGGUGGGUAGUUUGACUGGGGCGGUCUCCUCCUAAAGAGUAACGGAGGAGCACGAAGGUUGGCUAAUCCUGGUCGGACAUCAGGAGGUUAGUGCAAUGGCAUAAGCCAGCUUGACUGCGAGCGUGACGGCGCGAGCAGGUGCGAAAGCAGGUCAUAGUGAUCCGGUGGUUCUGAAUGGAAGGGCCAUCGCUCAACGGAUAAAAGGUACUCCGGGGAUAACAGGCUGAUACCGCCCAAGAGUUCAUAUCGACGGCGGUGUUUGGCACCUCGAUGUCGGCUCAUCACAUCCUGGGGCUGAAGUAGGUCCCAAGGGUAUGGCUGUUCGCCAUUUAAAGUGGUACGCGAGCUGGGUUUAGAACGUCGUGAGACAGUUCGGUCCCUAUCUGCCGUGGGCGCUGGAGAACUGAGGGGGGCUGCUCCUAGUACGAGAGGACCGGAGUGGACGCAUCACUGGUGUUCGGGUUGUCAUGCCAAUGGCACUGCCCGGUAGCUAAAUGCGGAAGAGAUAAGUGCUGAAAGCAUCUAAGCACGAAACUUGCCCCGAGAUGAGUUCUCCCUGAGACUUUAGGUCUCCUGAAGGAACGUUGAAGACGACGACGUUGAUAGGCCGGGUGUGUAAGCGCAGCGAUGCGUUGAGCUAACCGGUACUAAUGAACCGUGAGGCUUAACCUU